RNAcentral lists this transfer RNA (62 nucleotides) under Tenerus hilleri. RNAcentral's name for it is "tRNA-Cys". Lineage: Eukaryota; Metazoa; Arthropoda; Insecta; Coleoptera; Cleridae. The record is from RNAcentral.
GUUUAGGUAUUCAAUUAUGAUUUUAAAUUGCAAAUUUAAAGGUAAAUUAAAUUUUCUAAACU